ACUAUUGCACAAUGGAGGGAACUCUGAUGCAGCAACGCUGCGUGCGUGAAGCAGGCUCUCGGAUCGUAAAACUCUGCCUCUGGGGAAGAAUCAAUGACGGUACUCUAAGAGGACACUCUGGCUACCGACUUACACGCAGCCGCGGUAAUACGUAGGGGGCGAGCGUUGUCCGGAAUUACUGGGCGUACAGGGUACGUAGGCGGCUAUAUGAGUCAGGUGUGAAAUACCAGUGCUUAACACUGGAAUGGCAUUUGAAACGGUGUAGCUUGAGUGCAGUAGAGAAAAGUGGAAUUCCUAGUGUAGCGGUGAAAUGCGUAGAGAUUAGGAGGAACACCAGUGGCGAAGGCGACUUGCUGGACUGUAACUGACGCUGAGGUACGAAAGCGUGGGUAGCGAAC
This 398-nucleotide ribosomal RNA is filed under the name uncultured bacterium. RNAcentral describes it as "partial 16S ribosomal RNA". It matches the Rfam family "Bacterial small subunit ribosomal RNA", at positions 359 to 773 of the family's 1533-position model. The record is from RNAcentral.